Schistosoma rodhaini is the source of this 45-nucleotide non-coding RNA. NCBI's taxonomy places the organism in Eukaryota, Metazoa, Platyhelminthes, Trematoda, Strigeidida, Schistosomatidae. The record is from Rfam.
AUCCAUCUGAAGAGUCCCGAAGAGGACGUAACGUGCGUCCUGGAU